UGGGGAAUAUUGCACAAUGGGCGCAAGCCUGAUGCAGCCAUGCCGCGUGUGUGAAGAAGGCCUUCGGGUUGUAAAGCACUUUCAGCGGGGAGGAAGGCGUUAAGGUUAAUAACCUUGGCGAUUGACGUUACCCGCAGAAGAAGCACCGGCUAACUCCGUGCCAGCAGCCGCGGUAAUACGGAGGGUGCAAGCGUUAAUCGGAAUUACUGGGCGUAAAGCGCACGCAGGCGGUCUGUCAAGUCGGAUGUGAAAUCCCCGGGCUCAACCUGGGAACUUCAUUCGAAACUGGCAGGCUAGAGUCGUGUAGAGGGGGGUAGAAUUCCAGGUGUAGCGGUGAAAUGCGUAGAGAUCUGGAGGAAUACCGGUGGCGAAGGCGGCCCCCUGGACAAAGACUGACGCUCAGGUGCGAAAGCGUGGGGAGCAAACAGG
RNAcentral lists this ribosomal RNA (429 nucleotides) under Chloroflexota bacterium. Its description in RNAcentral is "Chloroflexi bacterium partial 16S ribosomal RNA". It matches the Rfam family "Bacterial small subunit ribosomal RNA", at positions 355 to 776 of the family's 1533-position model. The record is from RNAcentral. Lineage: Bacteria; Bacillati; Chloroflexota.